UGUUCCAUUUUUUUCUUGCGUACCAAGGUG
Molecule: non-coding RNA, 30 nt
Filed under: Rattus norvegicus (Norway rat)
Lineage: Eukaryota; Metazoa; Chordata; Mammalia; Rodentia; Muridae
Source: RNAcentral